AGCCACCUACAGGGAAAAACAUCAUACGGAUGUUACAUCACCAUCUAAAGACAAUUUCAUCCUAAUUCUUUUUUCCCUCAGUUUCUCUUCCCAUGAUAGACGGAGAACUUUCCGGAGACCCACUGGACCUAAAGAUGUUCAACGCCACAGACUGGAUUCUGGAGGAGCCUACAGACUAAGAGACAGCCCUCUACAAUCCCAUAAUGCCCAUGCAGGUGCUCCCCAAGGUCAACCAGGAAGUAAAUCCAGCAAAGGACAUGGAGCUGUCUGAGUUGACGGUAAGAAGUCUGAGGACAUUUUUCAAAAGCAUAUUUCUUUCUUUCCUUGAGUAUUGAUUUGUAUGUGAAUGGAUAGGUUGAAUGGAUAAUGUUUGACUGACCAUGUGCUGUCUGUCUGUCAUAAAUCGUCAUAUGAGAUUGGUAUUGUUUGCCAGUUCCCCUUCUCGUCGGCUAAAUCGUCAUAUGAGAUUGGGAUUGUUUGCCAGUUCCCCUUCUCGUCGGCUCUACAGAGGACGAAUGUGGUUGUCCGGACGGAGGCUGGGGAGAAGGGCAUGGACACCUACCUCAAGGGGGCGCCAGAGGUUGUGGCCAGCCUCUGCAGAGAGGACACAUAUUAUAUCGGAGAGCUUUACCGAGACACAGGAGUCUGGGUUUCAGAGUCGUUACCCUGGCCCAUAGCCAGCUGGAGGCCAAACUCCUGGCCAAACUCAGAAUGGGCUGAAUACUAGACCAAUAUGGAGUUCCUUGGGCUCGUAAUCAUGCCAAACAAGCGGAAGGAAGAGACUGCCAGGGCUUUAAAAGACCUACGACUUGCAAACGUUCGCACUGUGAUGGUUACUGGCCCUGAAGACAGCUCACAGUGGGAUCUCCUUGUUCAGCGCUGGGUGCCUCGGUCACCUCCCUCUUCACCUCCAACAUCUCCUGUGUACCCAACCUCAUUGGGUACUGUAGCAUCCUUCUCAUCAACCGUGUUAACUAUCACUUUAUUUUACAGUCCUUAUACAGUUGGUACAAAUUGGCAAGCUAUAAUGUACUUACUUUGGUAACAACAUGAUAUCGAAUGGUACUUAAACAGACAGUUAGUCGUUAGGUGCCGCUGCGGUCAAAUAUAGAAGCCACCUUGCACGAUUCACAAUUUCUUCAACAACAACAAAAAAUAAAUUGAAAACUUUUGGUGUUCCCAUAUGUAUUUGUGUGCAUUCAACCUUUACAGGACUAAGAAAAAAAUAUCUAAACUGAAAUUAAAAAAUGUCAAUUUAAGUAAACAAAUGGCCGAGACUAAAUUAUUCAAAAUUCUAAUUAAUUUGGUGGGAGGCAAGUGAUACUUGUUUAUGUGUAAUUGUAAGUUGCAGGUGCCUACAGGGUAAAAAUAGCCAUUCAACCAAUGUGCACUCCAUAGUAAAGUGCAAGGGUGCCAAUAUAUUUGACCGCAACUGUAUAACAAUGUGAAUAAACUAUAGGUUGUAGGGAAUAUAACUUCCUGUGGAAUAAAAUGUAUCUGUUGAGGUAUUUGAAGUGCUGCAUCAAAGUAGUCUCAUCCAGAGUUGUAAGAGCAAUUGUGAGCAAUUAUAUUCAACAGUGAGCAUAAAAAAAAGCAUUAAAAAAAACAAAAGAAAGAAAAACAUUGCAA
Non-coding RNA from Oncorhynchus mykiss (rainbow trout), 1629 nucleotides. The record is from RefSeq and is a predicted model, not a curated record. Lineage: Eukaryota; Metazoa; Chordata; Actinopteri; Salmoniformes; Salmonidae.